GCGCAGGUGGUGAAAUUGGUAUACACGCAGCGUUCAGGGCGCUGUGGGCGCAAGCCCGUGGGGGUUCAAGUCCUCUCCUGCGCA
RNAcentral lists this transfer RNA (84 nucleotides) under Candidatus Spechtiibacteriota bacterium. Its description in RNAcentral is "tRNA-Leu". It matches the Rfam family "tRNA". From Rfam's summary of the family: Transfer RNA (tRNA) molecules are approximately 80 nucleotides in length. Their secondary structure includes four short double-helical elements and three loops (D, anti-codon, and T loops). Lineage: Bacteria; Candidatus Spechtiibacteriota. The record is from RNAcentral.